GUCAGGAUGGCCGAGCGGUCUAAGGCGCCAGACUCAAGGUUUACCUUGCCCUCUAUAACGCGGGUGUGAGUUGUUCUGGUCCUCUCUGAGGGCGUGGGUUCGAAUCCCACUUCUGACA
RNAcentral lists this transfer RNA (118 nucleotides) under Danaus plexippus (monarch butterfly). RNAcentral describes it as "misc RNA ENSDPXG00000018708.1". It matches the Rfam family "tRNA". From Rfam's summary of the family: Transfer RNA (tRNA) molecules are approximately 80 nucleotides in length. Their secondary structure includes four short double-helical elements and three loops (D, anti-codon, and T loops). RNAcentral also lists the same sequence under 1 other name. Lineage: Eukaryota; Metazoa; Arthropoda; Insecta; Lepidoptera; Nymphalidae. The record is from RNAcentral.